Molecule: long non-coding RNA, 900 nt
Organism: Oxyura jamaicensis (ruddy duck)
Lineage: Eukaryota; Metazoa; Chordata; Aves; Anseriformes; Anatidae
Exons: 2
Source: RefSeq, a predicted model, not a curated record
UUAGCACUUAUUGGAGAGAACUCAGGUAUACCUGGCUUUGGUUCUAGAUGUAAAUCCAAUUGAUAUUUCUUGAAGGAAAAUUAUCUGUAUCCUUAAUUAAGAUCAGCAAAAUACCCGUUAUGCUUUGGAAACUACAUGUUGAAUGCAUGUUUAGAUUUCUAAUUUUUUAAUUAUUUACUAAUAACUUUUUUUUUUUCAGAACCCUGUGAUAAUAUGAGAGAGAUUCUUCAAAAUGUGGCCAAAUUACAAGGCAUUUCAAAUAUGAGAAAACUAGGUCACUUGAAUAAUUUUACUAAGCUUCUUUGUAAUACUGGCCAUGCUGAAGAAAACCUAGGUUUUACGUAUGACAGCAUCAUAAUAUGGUAAGUAGUAAGGAACAUUAGAGUAAUACUAUGGUACUUUCAUUGUUCUAGGUGCAAUUAAAUCAACUUUAUUUGUAUUUUUGGAACUAGUAUUUCGUAGUUGCAAUGUGUUUAAAAUGUCAUAAUGCAAAUGUAUACCUUACUAAUAUUUUAAUGAGUAAAAUCAGAAAUACAUUAUACACUUUCAGGUAAAGGGGGGAAAAACUCCAAGUUAGUGCGGAUUUUUUUAUUAUAUUUUCUUAGAAAUGUAAAAAUACCUCUACAUAUCUCAGUACUUGCAGAAAGGACUUGUACAAAAAAUGUGCUCUUAAAGAAUUUGGAACAUAUUCUUAAUGUAGAACUAAGAUUUAAAGAUGAACUUAUGUUCAUUUGUUAUGUUUGUACAUAUACUUUGUAGUGCCACUUUCCUUGCAGCUAAAAUAAAACACUGUAUAUAUUUUCAAAUCACCCAUCUAGUCGAUCAGGGGAAGCCAGUUGAUGUAAUCUUUUUGGAUUUCAGUAAAACUUUCAAUACAGUUUCUCAUAGGAUACUACUGGA